GGGGGGGGGGGGGGGGGGGGGGGGGGGGGGGGGGGGGGGGGGGGGGGGGGGCGCCCUGCGGAAGCCCCUUGGGAAGCCGCCGGGGGCGGUGACAUUUCGGGGACAGUACACAGGUGCGUGCUGCUGGCACGGGGGGGCUGGAGGCGGCCACCCUCACCUUGGGGACGCUGGCCGCGCUCACGGUGGCGUUUGGCAGGGACACGGUACCAGGCGGGCACAGCACGGGCCACCCCCGCACCCCGAGAGGAGCCGGGCACCUCGGGGUGUCCCCGAUGUCACAGGGACAGGGUGGCAUCAGCUGGCCUUGGGGGAGGUGAUGCCCCCCGGCAGCCCCAGCACAGCACCCCCAGGAGAACGUCCUGCCCCACCUGCCGGGCACCCACGGGCCCCCCUGCGCCGGGCAGCAGGGGCAGAGCCACGCGCGAGCGUGGCCCUGGUGGCUCCUGUCCCCCAGGGGCCGAGAAGCCGGAGCCGCCCGGAAUCUGGUACUUGGCAGCCACCCCUGCUGCCGCCACUGCCACCGUCUGCCUGGCACCCGUCCCCCUCGUGCCUUACGUGCCCUCCAUGCUGUAAGGAUGCUCUGGGGCUGCGAGGGGACUCGGGGGCUGGGUCAGCAUCCCCCAGGGGUGCAGGGGAAACCCAGGAGGGGCUGGGUUUGCCCAUGG
Molecule: long non-coding RNA, 665 nt
Filed under: Ficedula albicollis (Collared flycatcher)
Lineage: Eukaryota; Metazoa; Chordata; Aves; Passeriformes; Muscicapidae
Description: lncRNA (ENSFALG00000016359.2)
Source: RNAcentral